Molecule: long non-coding RNA, 1169 nt
Filed under: Vulpes vulpes (red fox)
Lineage: Eukaryota; Metazoa; Chordata; Mammalia; Carnivora; Canidae
Description: lncRNA (ENSVVUG00000012967.1)
Source: RNAcentral
AUCCUUAGGUUGUGGGUGUUGAAGGCUCUUUGAAAAUAGGGCCUAGUGCCCUUCACUAUGAGGUGACUCAGUUUCCUUGGCUAUGAAAUUUCUACCAUGAUACUUUUUUUCAGAAGCUUCCAAGACUGAUGCCCCAAAGAUCCGUAGAGAGCAGAGGCCAAGACAGAGUAGGGUAAGGUUGAGUCAUGUUUCUCCUCUCUCUUGCAAAUGCAAAAGCAGGCCUGCAAAGAUGCCACGUGCAUUCAUGAAUAUGGUGUGUGGUGCUCGGUGUGGACACACUGGCAGCCAGCGUCAGGUUGAGAAUGCUGCCUCAGUCUGGAGAGCCAAGAGAACCUACCUGCUAUCAGCCAUUGCAUUCCUGGAGUAGCUGAAAAGCUUUGAAAGGUUCAUCCCGGGGGAAGAAUGUCACAAAAUCUGGCUGGUGUAGAAAGAAUGUGAGAGAGAGAAAAUCAAUGCAUGUGCAUAUGCAUGUGUGUGAGAGAGUGUGAACAUUUGUGCACGUGUCACUAGAAGCUGGCAUGGACAUAGUGUGUUAGUUUUUCUUCCUCUGGCUAAAAUAGGGUCUCCCAAAUGUGGGCCAUGAGAAGAAGGGGAGAAAGACCAUGGAGGGGGACCGAAUGGCACAGGAAUAAGAGGCAGGUAGGUACCAGUGGGAGAGGUGUGGAGGGAAAGUGUCAGAAGACAGGCUUGAAAGUAAACACCAGAAAUGACUGUCGUAUCCCAAACCAUCAGCAGACCAGGAGAUGAAACCCUGUAAUCCAGAGUCCUUGUGGGACCACUCAGAUCAAAGCACUCUGGGCAGUCCAUGUCUCACACUCAGCCAGGAGCACAGGCUGUCUCAUGGCUGCACACUCCCGCCAGGGCAGAGAGGCCGAGAACUCAUGUCUGUGCAUAAUGCAGCAUCAUUUUCCCUUAGAGACCUGCUCCCCCCUCUGCUCCCCUCCCAUCUGCGUGAAGGACACCAUCAAUUUCCCAGUCAUCCAGGCUCAAAGCCUCAGCCAUCGCCCCAACAUCCGCUUCCCAUUCGAUCAGUUGUCAGAUCCUGGCCAGCACACCUGUCACAUGGACUGUCUUCUGUCUCGGCAGAAAUCCGCAUUCUAGAAGAGAGGGAAGAGCAAGGGAGAGAGACAGAGAGAGAGAAAAAGAGAGAAAGACAAAUUUCAGUUUAA